UACGUAGGGGGCUAGCGUUGUCCGGAAUCAUUGGGCGUAAAGCGCGUGUAGGCGGCCCGGUAAGUCCGCUGUGAAAGUCCAGGGCUCAACCCUGGGAUGCCGGUCGGUACUGCCGGACUAGAGUUCGGAAGAGGCGAGUGGAAUUCCCGGUGUAGCGGUGAAAUGCGCAGAUAUCGGGAGGAACACCUAUGGCGAAGGCAGCUCGCUGGGACGUUACUGACGCUGAGACGCGAAAGCGUGGGGAGCAAACAGG
RNAcentral lists this ribosomal RNA (253 nucleotides) under uncultured bacterium. RNAcentral's name for it is "partial 16S ribosomal RNA". It matches the Rfam family "Bacterial small subunit ribosomal RNA", at positions 524 to 776 of the family's 1533-position model. The record is from RNAcentral.